UGAUUUAAUAUUCUCACAGCCAUGGCGUAACAAUUUUUCGAGUAUAGCGCGGUGCAACAUGCAGGCACCCGCAGCCGUGUUGGAUCCCUCGGUAUAUAUAAGCAGGUUUCUUUUAUUAAAAUUUUCA
Molecule: long non-coding RNA, 127 nt
Organism: Pieris napi
Lineage: Eukaryota; Metazoa; Arthropoda; Insecta; Lepidoptera; Pieridae
Exons: 3
Source: RefSeq, a predicted model, not a curated record